This 353-nucleotide unclassified non-coding RNA is filed under the name Hevea brasiliensis (rubber tree). Lineage: Eukaryota; Viridiplantae; Streptophyta; Magnoliopsida; Malpighiales; Euphorbiaceae. The record is from RNAcentral.
UGAUUGUUGUGCAUGCUUACACUUUAUCUUUGACCAAAAUUCUAUGCCUUUGGCAAUCUAAUCCUUAAAGUCUUUUGAAGUACUUUACAAGAUCAGUGCCUUGAAAGGAAGCAUUUUAAGAUGUCAAUGGUCUUAUUUAUUGACAUUUUUUUAUAUAUCUGAGUGCAUAGUGGUGUGGUUGCUUCAUAGUUCAAAGCUACGUAGAGGGUCUAUAUCAUUUCAAAUGGUUGAUGGUUUAGAUAACUUAAAAACUGGGGGCGUAUGAAUGUGUUGUAGCCCUUUCUUGUCCUGUUUAAAUGAAGUAAUGUAAUGUAUAUUUAUGUUCAUUAUUCAUUCUGUUGACAGGUCUAUAG